GCGCUCGUAGCUCAGCUGGAUAGAGUACUGCCCUCCGAAGGCAGGGGUCACUGGUUCGAAUCCAGUCGAGCGCACCA
RNAcentral lists this transfer RNA (77 nucleotides) under Hydrocarboniphaga daqingensis. RNAcentral describes it as "tRNA_Arg_CCG". It matches the Rfam family "tRNA". From Rfam's summary of the family: Transfer RNA (tRNA) molecules are approximately 80 nucleotides in length. Their secondary structure includes four short double-helical elements and three loops (D, anti-codon, and T loops). The record is from RNAcentral. Lineage: Bacteria; Pseudomonadati; Pseudomonadota; Gammaproteobacteria; Nevskiales; Nevskiaceae.